RNAcentral lists this ribosomal RNA (2898 nucleotides) under Klebsiella quasipneumoniae. RNAcentral describes it as "23S ribosomal RNA". It matches the Rfam family "Bacterial large subunit ribosomal RNA". Lineage: Bacteria; Pseudomonadati; Pseudomonadota; Gammaproteobacteria; Enterobacterales; Enterobacteriaceae. The record is from RNAcentral.
UUAAGCGACUAAGCGUACACGGUGGAUGCCCUGGCAGUCAGAGGCGAUGAAGGACGUGCUAAUCUGCGAAAAGCGUCGGUAAGGUGAUAUGAACCGUUAUAGCCGGCGAUGUCCGAAUGGGGAAACCCAGUGAUUCGUCACACUAUCGUUAACUGAAUACAUAGGUUAACGAGGCGAACCGGGGGAACUGAAACAUCUAAGUACCCCGAGGAAAAGAAAUCAACCGAGAUUCCCCCAGUAGCGGCGAGCGAACGGGGAGCAGCCCAGAGUCUGAAUCAGCUUGUGUGUUAGUGGAACGGUCUGGAAAGUCCGACGGUACAGGGUGAUAGUCCCGUACACCAAAAUGCACAGGUUGUGAACUCGAAGAGUAGGGCGGGACACGUGGUAUCCUGUCUGAAUAUGGGGGGACCAUCCUCCAAGGCUAAAUACUCCUGACUGACCGAUAGUGAACCAGUACCGUGAGGGAAAGGCGAAAAGAACCCCGGCGAGGGGAGUGAAAAAGAACCUGAAACCGUGUACGUACAAGCAGUGGGAGCACCUUUAUGGUGUGACUGCGUACCUUUUGUAUAAUGGGUCAGCGACUUAUAUUCUGUAGCAAGGUUAACCGUAUAGGGGAGCCGCAGGGAAACCGAGUCUUAACUGGGCGUUAAGUUGCAGGGUAUAGACCCGAAACCCGGUGAUCUAGCCAUGGGCAGGUUGAAGGUUGGGUAACACUAACUGGAGGACCGAACCGACUAAUGUUGAAAAAUUAGCGGAUGACUUGUGGCUGGGGGUGAAAGGCCAAUCAAACCGGGAGAUAGCUGGUUCUCCCCGAAAGCUAUUUAGGUAGCGCCUCGUGAACUCAUCUUCGGGGGUAGAGCACUGUUUCGGCUAGGGGGUCAUCCCGACUUACCAACCCGAUGCAAACUACGAAUACCGAAGAAUGUUAUCACGGGAGACACACGGCGGGUGCUAACGUCCGUCGUGAAGAGGGAAACAACCCAGACCGCCAGCUAAGGUCCCAAAGUCAUGGUUAAGUGGGAAACGAUGUGGGAAGGCACAGACAGCCAGGAUGUUGGCUUAGAAGCAGCCAUCAUUUAAAGAAAGCGUAAUAGCUCACUGGUCGAGUCGGCCUGCGCGGAAGAUGUAACGGGGCUAAACCAUGCACCGAAGCUGCGGCAGCGACACUAUGUGUUGUUGGGUAGGGGAGCGUUCUGUAAGCCUGCGAAGGUGACCUGUGAGGGUUGCUGGAGGUAUCAGAAGUGCGAAUGCUGACAUAAGUAACGAUAAAGCGGGUGAAAAGCCCGCUCGCCGGAAGACCAAGGGUUCCUGUCCAACGUUAAUCGGGGCAGGGUGAGUCGACCCCUAAGGCGAGGCCGAAAGGCGUAGUCGAUGGGAAACAGGUUAAUAUUCCUGUACUUGGUGUUACUGCGAAGGGGGGACGGAGAAGGCUAUGUUAGCCGGGCGACGGUUGUCCCGGUUUAAGCAUGUAGGCUGGUUAUCCAGGCAAAUCCGGAUAAUCAAGGCUGAGGUGUGAUGACGAGGCACUACGGUGCUGAAGUAACAAAUGCCCUGCUUCCAGGAAAAGCCUCUAAGCAUCAGGUAACAUCAAAUCGUACCCCAAACCGACACAGGUGGUCAGGUAGAGAAUACCAAGGCGCUUGAGAGAACUCGGGUGAAGGAACUAGGCAAAAUGGUGCCGUAACUUCGGGAGAAGGCACGCUGGUGUGUAGGUGAAGUCCCUGCGGAUGGAGCUGAGACCAGUCGAAGAUACCAGCUGGCUGCAACUGUUUAUUAAAAACACAGCACUGUGCAAACACGAAAGUGGACGUAUACGGUGUGACGCCUGCCCGGUGCCGGAAGGUUAAUUGAUGGGGUUAUCCGUAAGGAGAAGCUCUUGAUCGAAGCCCCGGUAAACGGCGGCCGUAACUAUAACGGUCCUAAGGUAGCGAAAUUCCUUGUCGGGUAAGUUCCGACCUGCACGAAUGGCGUAAUGAUGGCCAGGCUGUCUCCACCCGAGACUCAGUGAAAUUGAACUCGCUGUGAAGAUGCAGUGUACCCGCGGCAAGACGGAAAGACCCCGUGAACCUUUACUAUAGCUUGACACUGAACAUUGAGCCUUGAUGUGUAGGAUAGGUGGGAGGCUUUGAAGCGUGGACGCCAGUCUGCGUGGAGCCAACCUUGAAAUACCACCCUUUAAUGUUUGAUGUUCUAACGUUGGCCCCUUAUCGGGGUUGCGGACAGUGUCUGGUGGGUAGUUUGACUGGGGCGGUCUCCUCCCAAAGCGUAACGGAGGAGCACGAAGGUUAGCUAAUCCUGGUCGGACAUCAGGAGGUUAGUGCAAUGGCAUAAGCUAGCUUGACUGCGAGCGUGACGGCGCGAGCAGGUGCGAAAGCAGGUCAUAGUGAUCCGGUGGUUCUGAAUGGAAGGGCCAUCGCUCAACGGAUAAAAGGUACUCCGGGGAUAACAGGCUGAUACCGCCCAAGAGUUCAUAUCGACGGCGGUGUUUGGCACCUCGAUGUCGGCUCAUCACAUCCUGGGGCUGAAGUAGGUCCCAAGGGUAUGGCUGUUCGCCAUUUAAAGUGGUACGCGAGCUGGGUUUAGAACGUCGUGAGACAGUUCGGUCCCUAUCUGCCGUGGGCGCUGGAGAAUUGAGGGGGGCUGCUCCUAGUACGAGAGGACCGGAGUGGACGCAUCACUGGUGUUCGGGUUGUCAUGCCAAUGGCACUGCCCGGUAGCUAAAUGCGGAAGAGAUAAGUGCUGAAAGCAUCUAAGCACGAAACUUGCCCCGAGAUGAGUUCUCCCUGAGACUUUAAGUCUCCUGAAGGAACGUUGAAGACGACGACGUUGAUAGGCCGGGUGUGUAAGCGCAGCGAUGCGUUGAGCUAACCGGUACUAAUGAACCGUGAGGCUUAACCU